This is a long non-coding RNA of Metopolophium dirhodum (rose-grain aphid), 2925 nucleotides long. RefSeq lists it as uncharacterized. The record is from RefSeq and is a predicted model, not a curated record. The transcript is spliced from 4 exons. NCBI's taxonomy places the organism in Eukaryota, Metazoa, Arthropoda, Insecta, Hemiptera, Aphididae.
ACAAACGUGGAUAAACAGCACGGAUAUCAGCCGCGAUGAACAGUAAUUAUCGUUAUCUAUAAUAUGUCAAUGCUUCACGGACGUCGAACGUAUACAAUUUAUUAUCAAUUAUUUAACAUCCAACGGCCGUGCGAUAUUCUGUGGACUGUGAUAACUGACAAGUAUUAUUACGAAUUAAUGUGAAAACGGUUUUAUAAAAGCAAUAAAUUAAAUAAAAUAAAAUUAAGUAGUAUUGUGAAUAUACUUACGUAAAUAUCUUUUUGCGGCCAACGGCACUCACAUUCACAUUUGUAUUCAUAAUCAGAUUCAUAUUAUAUUCAUAAUAUCAUGUUAUAUUACAUGACAGUUAAUUAAAUAAAACUAUGAAUAAAUAGAUCCAUAUUAUUCACAAAUCGCAAACCAAACGACCUUCUAAUAUUCGGCGACUAGAAGAGCAUAGCCGCAGCAACAACAACUUUCCAAUGACCUUACCAAAAGACACCUUCCAAAUCUACGUUCCGACCAUAAUAUCAAAAGAGCUGAAAUCCUAUAUAGGAGGGACAGGAACACGGUAUAAUAUUGAAAUGUACCAUAGCCGCCAUGACCAGAGCGACUACAUGCCAAACUAUGUGAACUGACAAUAAUACGAUAUAAUAAUAUAAACAUUAUACGUUGAAAAAACAUUUUUACAUCAUACUCGCCUAGUCCUAGUUUAUAUUGUGCACUGUACACCACAAGAACUAAGAUUCAUCAUUCAUGUUGCACUUAAAUCACAAAUGUUGAAUGGCCUACGAGAUACUGCACACAUUACAUAGUGUACAAUAUAUUGGAUGUUUGACUUGUGUGUAGUUAAAACACUUCACCGUCUGGAUCAAUAGCAGAGCUGCACAUAAUUGGCUCAGUGGAUAAAGGAUUUACAAAAUGGCUAACCAGCAGUAUGGCUCACUGACAAUUCUGUGAAUGAUAUCCAAACAACAACAACAUCAACAACAACGUAGCGGCACUGUUACGAUCAACAUUUUAAUUUACAAUGAUAUAAAGGAUGUGUUGAUGUAAUGAUGUCUACCACACGUUCUUACACUAGAUGUGUCAUUGAAGCAUUCAGCUAAUUAUAUUUUUGCCAUUUAAUCUACAGAGAUCUGAAACAUAAAAAUUGGACUUUACUGGUUGUGUGAAAUUUGACGAAUUUGCUGUUGCUAUAAAACCAAAAAACAGAAGAGAAACGUGGACAUUCUAUAGAACACCAGAAUACAUUACACUUGAUCUAUUCUCAACAGAGUUCAUGAUAUCUUUGGAGUACUUAUGUUUGAAUUGAAUUGCUGAAAAAAGCCCUAAGAAAAAAUAUUACCGAGUAGUAAAAAGCCAUCAUUUUUUAUUUUAAAUUUUAGUUGACAUUUGAUUAUAGUAAGAUAAAUUACAUUAUAAAAUAUAAUUUUUUUUUUUAUUUAAUGUUAUUUAAAAAAAAAAAAACAAUUUUUUUUAGACUUCUAAAUUAAAUACAUUUUUAAACAAGUUACCAACAAUAUUAUGUGUAAUUAAGUAAACUGUACUUUGCUCAAAUCAGAUAAAAGGACACUACGUUAGUUUGAACAUAGCAAAUUUAUGAUCAGCAGGUCACGUUUAUGUUUGUUAGUUUACAAAUUAGAGUGACUUGAACUAUUAUAAAACUUAACUAUAAAAACAUAAUCUGUGUUUGCAUGGGCAUUUUUUUUAUGAUGAUACAGUUUUUAAGUGAGUUUUGAGCAUUUUUAAUUUGCGCUAUACCAAUUACCUACUAUCAAGGCUGGGAAUUAAAGAGUUAAAAAGAUAAUUUUAAGUUAAAUUAUAACUUUUUAACUUAACUAGUUACUUUUGGAUUUUUGGAAACACUUAUCAUGAAUUGUUUUAAGUUAAAAAUGUUAUAUUAUUCAAAUGAAAAACUUCAAUGAAAUACAUAUUAUGUGGAUAGUGUUUAUACUGUUUACAGUAUAAACACUUAAGACCAUAAUUUAGUAUUGGGUUUUGAGUUUUUAAAAUAUAAAGUACACUAUGUUGUAUACAAAAAAUUGUUAGUUGUAUGGUAAAAAGUUAAAUAAACAUAUGUAUUAACUUUUAACUUCUAACUGAGUUAACCAAAAAUUAAAUUACCUUUGUUCUUAUUGAUGCAUAUCAACUUAACAUAACUGAGUUAAAAAAAAAAAUCAUUAACUUCUCCAUCCUUGCCUAACCUUGCUAAAAAAUUGAUCCAUCAUAAAAAACCCACAUACAAACCUAUAAUGUUGUAAUCUUAUAAGUUAUACCUAACCAUUUAGUUUUGUAACUAGGUAGAUUUUUAAACUAACGUAGCUAAACAUAAUUUGCUGAGCUUAAAUUUGGUUUAAAUUUGUGUUACGCACUAGUAAGAUGGAGAUAAUAAAUGUGUGUGUACUGUCCUCUUGAUAUGUCAACAUUUUUAUCAAUAGUUAUUAAAAAUAUCUUAAUAGAAACUAGAAAUUACAUGUUUUAUAACAAGACACUAUAAAAGAUUUUUUUUUCCUUAAUUUUUUUGUUUUUAAUUAGUAGAAUUAAUGUACAAAACACAUUUGAAUAAUUUAAUAUUGUAUAAUAGCACUUAAACGACCAAUUACAUAUAUUUGAAAAAAUGUUUUUCCCAUAACAACCAAAACUAUAAACUGUUUUCUAUAGGUAAUAGUGUACCUAUUUAUUAUAAUGAUAGUGUUUACCAGGGCCGGAUUAUGGUAAUAUAAAGAGUGGGGGGGCUAUAACUUUUGGUGAGGCCAAAACAAUUUUGUUAUUUUAUUUAGAUUAAUAAUUUGUAAUAAAUAUUAAUUUAAAUAAGUACCUAUAGUAUAUUUGUAUAUUGUAGUAUAGUCACAUUUACUGAUAAAACAGUACUUUAUAUUUGUUAGCCAAGUAUUAUAAAAUAUGUUUUAAUGAUAAUAUAGAAAAAUUGUGUUGUAUUCUAAU